RNAcentral lists this long non-coding RNA (4159 nucleotides) under Olea europaea subsp. europaea. Lineage: Eukaryota; Viridiplantae; Streptophyta; Magnoliopsida; Lamiales; Oleaceae. The record is from RNAcentral.
AUCCCCUCUUCUUACACACGCACAAAUGCACGCUUCACCAAUUUCAUUUUCUUUUCCAGUAUAUUGAACCUCGAAAUAGGUAUAGUUCUUUCUUUCUAUUGACCUUCUUUUUUGCUUCAUUACUUCUCUUUUGUGUGUAGGGUUUAUCGAUUUUGCAAAUGAGGCAGAUGAGAGGGCCAAGGAAGCGGAUAUUCGGGUCCACGAAUUGGAGGAGCAGAAUAAGUUGCCUGAGGAUUCUCAUCUCUACGAGUACCGAUGCGAGAAACAGAUGGCAAAUUAAUUUCUUCACCAAAUUUUCUUAAUCUUUUUAACACUUAUGUUGUUCACCUCUUAUUGAUUGUAUGAUUAAUUGUGAAAUUACCUCUGUGGGAUUUGGAAAUUUAUUAAAAGCCAUAGGUUUUGUAGGGCUAACUAACCAAAUAAGUGAUUUUGGGUAAAGGGAAAAUAUGAAGAAAGCAAAUUGAUCUUACUGAGCCGUGUAUUAUAUAAUUCCCUUGUUUUUUUUUUCCUUGAGAGACUUGUUAAUUUAGAAAAAUGGAAACUUGGAUGAUGGUAAUACAUCCUGAAAAUCAAAGUUCUUUUCAAUGAUAGAAUAGUGUCACCCACUCAACUUUGGGCUGCAUGAGUUUCUAGGACAUUUUUGGAUAAAGUAUGAACUAAGUGGGCAUGAAAAUGGAAAAUGAAUAUUAGUAAUACUGGAAGGAGAUGAAGAUGAAAAUGGAAAAUGAAUAUUAGUAAUACUGUCUGAACUUUAUGAUCCUCUUCUCUAACAUCAAUCUUUACUGCUGAGGAAUUCUGUUAUUGCUGCCGGCCUAUUCUGAAUAUGUGACUUCUUUCUGUUUUAAAUUUGCUACUUUUAUGUCGUAACUUUGAACUUUGCUUCAGAAUCUUCUCUUCCAGUUAUAUUUUGCGGUUUAUGACUUUCUAGAUUGAUUAACAUAGAAAAUAGAUAAACUAUACAGUUAACAACUGGUUGAGGAUGUAAACGCUUGACAAUGGGAGAAUGUAGUUUCAAAAUCAAAGAAAAUCCUUUGGUAACAAUUUAUAUCUCAUUUGGCCUAAUAGAAGUUUCGUUUGUAGCCAUUUGAAAUCAUAAAUUACUUUGUAUUACAAGUAACGUUUCUUUAAUUUUUCUGUCAUUUUUUAAGUUUCAAGAUUCAUGUAAUGAAUUUUCUGUUUUCAUUGGAACAUGAGGGGAAAUUGUGAUUAAUUCAGAGUUAUGACAUGCGUGUGCAGGCCCAUUCGUUUGUUUACCUCCUGUGGGAAGUCUUGUGGUCUAUUUUCCUCAAGGUCAUAGUGAACAAGUACGUCCUUUCUCUCCUUUCUCUCUAUUUCGAGAAAUAUUGUAAAUUUUCACACGAUAUCUGAUAUGUACUUGUAUAUAUUCUAUUUGUAGGUGGCAGCAUUGAUUCAAAAGGAGGCUGAGAGCAUCCCAAGUUAUCCAAACCUUCCGUCGAAGUUGAUCUCCAUGCUCCAUAAUGUCAAUUUACAUGUAUGAACACUUCCAUAGUGCAACGGAAACUUUUAAACAUUUUUUUCUCCGUGUCGAAAUUUAUUUUCUUCUUGGGUUUUAUACUAGAUAAGUACUUGAUGAUCGUCAAUUUGAUCUACUAUGCAAUAAAUCAAUAUCAAUAAUGAUGUUCAAUUUGAUCUAUCUAUGCAGUAAGUCAACAUCAGCGAUAUUUAUCUUCAAUGGCUUUAGUUGUUAUUUGACUGGAUCAAUCUUAUGUUUCUUUAUCCUCUCCUCAGUAAGUUUUUUCCCCUGCCUUCCUUUUCAUGGUACUUCAAUUUGUGAUUUUUGGCUCUUUAAGAGAGAAUAUGGAUGGGAUCAUUUUACUGUAUUUCAAGAUUUUUAUGGUGAUGAGUUUCUGGUUCAUGCCCCAAUGUUCUCUCUUUUCACAUGUGAAAAAGGAUCUUGUUUUCUUGCUGUCGUUUUUGCUGUCUCACAUCUGCUUGCAGAGUCAACCACUUGAUGGUGGCUGUAUAUGUAGUUGUACAGGCAGCUGUUCCAUCUUUAAUGUUUGUGUUGUUUCCCAUUUCAGCAUCUUGUCAGUUAUUGCUUUGACAUGUAUGAUUCACAAUUUAUGUUUAAUGUGUGUGCACAUUAUAUUGUAUUUUCACAUGCCUAACAAAUGGGGGGGGAAAAAAAAGUGCUAGCAGAUUUUGACAAUACUGUGAGUUAAUUUGUUGUACUUUAUAGUUAGGAGUUGUUUCAAAAAGUUCUCCAUAAAAAGGUUUGUGGAUUUAGAUAAAAGAUGGUGAAAUGUGUCACAUGUGGUUGAAAAGUUGAUAAAAGUUGUGUGUUCCAUGAUAUUAUGGUUAAAAUCAAUUUUUUAGCAACAUUUUUUGCUUUCCUGAACAAGCACUUUGUAGAUAAGCAUUUACUAUCCCCUUACGUAUUAGACUGCAAAUAAUUCUCUUUCUUUCCUUUUCUUUUGUCCCGUCUGUAUUUGUUCCUUUUGGCAUAAUUAUUUUCGUUCAAUCAGUGCAAGCAAUAUGAGAAGGACCUAAUGGACAUGAUCGAUAGAGAAGUGGAUGGAAGUGAUAGUCUUGAGGGGAUUUGUUCUGUGCCAUUCAAUUGCUAGUGGUACAAGCUAAGGUUUCCAAAUCCUAUCACAUUGUGCAAAUUUUCUAUGUAAAUUCCAAAAUAUGAAUGUCUUGAUUCAUAUUUGAUUUUCAUAAGAAUAUGAAACUGGUUUUGUACUGUUCACGGAAGGACAGGUCAACUGCACUGUAGAGGCCCAAUUUAUUCUCUCUGCUUUCACUGUAUAUACUCAAUGUAUCUAUCUCUUCCUUUUCAUUUCUUCCCCCAUUUAGCCAUCCUUGUUGACUAUAUAAUAGUUAUUUGCUUUCCAUGUAGCCACCAUUCUUUCUAGCUACAGUGGUUCUGCAUUGUUCAUUAAAUGAUCGCCCUAACAAAGCGUCAUUUCUUCCAUCUCUAAACCCUCUUUUUUCUUUCCCGAAUUUCAAUCCCCAUUCCCAACACACUUUAAUUCCUCCUACAACGCUAAAAACCCUUCAAUUAAUUUCAUCUCUCCAGGAAUGAGCUGGCUGUACAAGCUUAGAUUUGGUGUUCUUAACUCCACCGACUCCAUGUGGAUUCCUCUUUCGAUUCUUCCAUAGCGCAUGGGACUAGACGAUCAUGUACUCGCUCUGAGCCAUCAGUUCGUGCAAUUCGAAGGAGGUAGAGAAUAUAGUAUUGGCUUCCUCCAUUGCAAUUUAUUGUUGAGUUUUUUUAAAACAGUAUUUAAUCGUAUCCCCAAGAAAAAUUUAUGAAUUUCAGUUCAGAAAUUUGAGAAAAAAUGUGAAGUUUAGGUUUGCUUUCAUCUUAAAUGUCUUAAAAGUUUGUUCUUAUUGGCAAAAAGUUUUAAAUUUCUGCAUUUAUUUAAUUAAGCUUGCUCAUUUUUAUCACCGGCAAAACUAAGAUUUCAGAUUUUGGGUGUGGUGUGGGGCUGAGCAACAUAGGGAAGCAGCAAUGCACAAAGGUCACUCAGAUUAAAAGGCUAAUUGCUAGAAACUGGUGAAUAUAAGCACAAGGAAGAUUUGGAAAUGCUUAUAAAUUUAGAGCUGGGGAAGUUAAAUUAUGUUGAGAACGAGUUCCGGAAUUAUGAAUAUAUUGUAAGAAAAAAUAAUAAAUGAGAUUGUAUAUAAAAUAAAAAGUGGAGCAAUUUGAUUGAAUUAUGCCACUAUGAGUUUUAAUUUUUGAUUUCUUUUAUUUUUUGAUUGUCAAAUUUGUCGACGAAUAAAUGAAACAUAGGAUUGAGUUGAGUAUGACGUGGAGAAAUGUGACUAGAGAGCUUGAAACAUUGACCUCUUGAAAAUUAACUUUUGAGAACGUGAAAACUUCCAACUAGAAAGUAGAAACUGCAUGAUCGGCUGAAUAAUUUGUAAAAAGAAGUGACAAACUGUAAUUUCUCUAUUUUGUGAUUUAUGUUUUCGUGAACAUUAUUGUAGCUAGAUGUUCCUUUAGUUUAUCAUUCACAUAUUGAAAUGAGAUAUUGCACAUGCUAGAAGAAAUAUGUAAUCCUCCUUCUGGUUCUUGGCAAAAUUUGAAGGUGAGUAGAAUUUUCUGAGUACGAACUUUGUUGUUGUUGUUUUUUUUUCUGGCAAUUAUAUUUAUCUUGUGAAAAACUGUUUCAGGAUUACAUGUGAAAAUCUA